GAGGCACUGGGUUUGAGCCUCAGCACCACAUAGAAAUAAAUAAAGAUAUAGUGUCCAUAUACAACUAAAAAAGAAUUAAAAAGAACAGUUUCUGGUGCAAUACAAUUAGACCACCCAGCUCUCCCUUAGUAGGGUAGAGAUGGAGGAGUUAUCAAACACUUCACCUGUAGAAAUAAUCCAGGAGAGUAAGUGUGUAUGUAGGAUACGUUAUUUUAGGGCAUUUGGUUUCAAAUUUUUUUUUAGACUGCACUAUGCUUUGACCAUAUUUUUAUCUCCUUCGUGAAAGUUGAUCUCAGAGGUGAUUUUUUAAUAACUCACCAUGUUUCUCGUAAUCAGGCAUACAUGAUUAAACUCAUCCUCCUGUGUUUUUCCUUCAUUUGAAUUAUAACAAAUUUUCUCUUUUGAGGUGUGUACAUGAUUGUGUGUGUGUGUGUGUGUGUGUGAAUGCAGAAUAAAGAGAUUGAAGACAGCAAUGAACUGAAGACUUGGAACAGAUAUUAGGUUAAUGUUCAAAGACCUUUCUACUCUCACAUCUAGCACUGUGAGAUGUCAUUUGUUAUCCCCCACCCCUGGCCCCUGUCAUAUGCAAUCUUUCUCCGCUUUCUCUGGAAGCAUUUUAAAUUUUCUCCUUAUUUAUUUUUUCAUUUCAAGAUGAUAUUUUUGGAAUUUUUUUGUAUUUAUUGUGGGUCAUUUUAUUGAAGAAUUUGUGUAUUGCAAUUCUGGAUUUCUUAAUCUGGCAGUACUUUCUCUGUUGUCUUUUUCUGUAACUUUUAUUGAUGGACUGUUGUUCUUUCUUGACUGAUCAUCUUAUUUUGUUUUAAUCUUUUAUUUCAAUUUUCUGAAAUAUUGCCUACAGAUUAUUCUUAAAUCCUUCUAUUGAAUUUGCUUUUUCAUUUUGAU
RNAcentral lists this long non-coding RNA (900 nucleotides) under Marmota monax (woodchuck). Lineage: Eukaryota; Metazoa; Chordata; Mammalia; Rodentia; Sciuridae. The record is from RNAcentral.